RNAcentral lists this long non-coding RNA (3555 nucleotides) under Homo sapiens (human). Its description in RNAcentral is "HSALNT0120056". Lineage: Eukaryota; Metazoa; Chordata; Mammalia; Primates; Hominidae. The record is from RNAcentral.
GCCAUUGCCCCACACUCAUUGGUCAAAGCCCCACACCUUCCAGGGCACAAGCUGGCCCCUUCUUUCCUAAUGAAUGUUAGCAUGCACCCGAUCCAUCUAUGCCUGUCAAGGACGUCACUCACACUUUGACUACAACUAGCAAAUCAAACAAACACCUGGUGGCCAGAUCUCCCUUGCCAGGGUGUUCUCUCUGUAACACAGAUGGGAGGCAGGCACUAGAUUGUUGCUGGGUGGGUGGUGAAAUCCCGGUACAAAGAGGAAGGCCAAGUCCUCUCUCAGGUCUUAGGAAACCUGCGGCCUCUCUCCCUCUGAUCUCCGACUGCCGGACUCAAUCACUACAGGCAGUGUGGUCUCAUUUAAAGAAAAAUAAGUCCUGCUGGGCAAGAAGUUGGGAGGACUGUAUGUUAUUAGUUCCUUGGCGUUUGGAUAGGAGUGUCAGCCAGAAAAGAGUUUAAAAAGGUAAAGAAGUACAUGGGUGAUUUUGGAUCAAUUUUCCAUUUGAAACAGCUCAGCAAACAGCCGACUACGCCUAAUGGGCCCUUGAAAUGCUCUCUUUUAUGAAAUUCCAGAUGUGAAAAAGGACACACUACAAAUUUCCUCUUCCAUAAAAUGAAGAUAACAGUAGUACCUCUUGGAUGGAUGUGUUAAGAAAAAGAUAAUGCCUGUGAAGUACCUAGCGCAGGACCUAGCACAGUACAUAGCACGGUACCUGGAGAACUCCAGAGGAGGGCACAAGGAGAAGAUGGCCAUCUGCAAACCCAGAAAUGAGGCCUCACCAGACACUGGAUCCAUGAGCACCUUGAUCUUGGACUCUCCAGCCUCCAGAACUGUGAUGAGCUUGUUUCCCACUUCACUGGAAAACAAAAUGGGAAUAUUCAGAAGAUAAGUUCCACAGCUCCCAUAGCAUCUUCCUAUCUACCAGGAUUUGGACCUUCUACACCCUGCUCCCAUUAAGGAAUUAGCCUUGCUCUUGUCCAAAACUAGCCUUUGCGUAUGCCUUAGAUCCUAUCCCCCUUGCUUGCUCACAGGCUUUGCUCCAGCAAUUCUCCCUAUUUUUCCCCUAUACCAUCAGCUUCCUCUCUCUACUAGGUCAUUUCCACCAGCACACAACAAUACUGUCUCUCUCAUCUUAGAAAUGGAAACUAACAAAAUUGAGUUCACUUUUCCUUCUGACACUAUCCCUUUUCUACCUCCCCCACUUUACAGCAAAACUCUUUGAAAGCUGCCUGAAUUUCACUGCUUCCAUUUCCUCUCCUCUUCUCACUUAAACCUACUGCUGCCAGAACCGGGACUCCACCACCUCACCAGACCCCUGCUUGUCAAUAUCAUCAAUGACUUCCAUCUUGCUAAAUCCAUUUCUUGUCCCCAUUGAACUUGACCCUCAGUAACACCUUGUCAAAUUAACCACUCCCUUCUCAUGGAAAUGAUUUCUUGUUUUCUAAGACACUACACAUUUCGUUUUCCUUCAACACCCCUGGAUGCUGCUUCCCAGUCUUGUCCCUUAACCUCCUAGCACUGAAGUGAUGCAGGGCUCAGUCCACAGAUCUCUUCAUCUUUCCUGUUCACUCCAUACUCACCCUCUUGGUAAUUCCCUUCCAGUUUCAUCGUUUAAAUGGCAUCUGUCUGCAAAUGAUUAUCAAAUGUAUGCCUCCAGCCAUGGCCACUGCUCUCAACGUUAGCUUAUCCAUCUAACUGUCAACUCUGUAUCUCUACCUGGACGCCUGAUGGAGGUCUCCAAUGUACCAUGCCCUAAACUGAAAUUUUGAUCUUCUUUAUCCACAGAAUCUGCUCGACCCUAUCUCAGUUAAAGGCAUAUGUUACUAAAGCCAAAGUCAGCAAAGAAGGAGCCUCCAUGCUUGGAAACAACCCAGCUAACUGCCAUCUGUGUGGUAGCUUGAGUGUGGAUUGAAGAACGGAGAGUCAGGAUUCUAGGGGAGAGUGGAACCAAUGGCUGGGCUGGAACCUGCAUGCCAGCACCUCCCCCACAUGCUGUUGGUCAAGCCAGAUUCAAGAGAUGGGGAAACAGACUCCGCCUCUGGAUGCCGCAAAGUCCCACGGCAAAGGGCAGGAAUAUAGAGGGGGGAUGAUCAUUCAUACCAUGACAAAAUGGCAGAAAAUGUGCAACUCCAAGACCAAGAAAACGUGAAGAGGCUGUGACUACCUCCAUGUGAGAAACAUCUGAGUUCCUCCUGAUCCUAAGACCUCCCCACAAUGUAUGUAUGAUAGCAAUUUCCUCUGACAGAGCAGUGAAUUUGAUGAUAGUGCAUCGAUUGCUGUAAAUUGUCUGCUGGGUUACCUGUUCCUACCACCUUAGAGCACUCACAGCUCAGUGACUGUGGAAGUCAGCUUCCAAGAUGUUCCCCUAUGAUCCUCCCCUCCUUGUAUUCACAUCUGUAAAGAUUCCUCCCACAAUGAAUCACAGUUUCGUUUUGUGACCAACAGAAUACAGCAGAAGUAAGGAAAUGUGACUUCCAAGGCUAAUGAAUAAAAGGCUUUGCAGUUUUCUCCUUGGUCAGUUGGAAGCCACCUGCCAUGGACACUCAAGCAGUUCUGUGGAGAGGCUCAUGAGGGAAAGAACUGAGGCCCCUCCACCAACAUCCAGCACCAACUUGUCAGCUGUGUCUGUGAGCCAUCUAGGAAUGAGACCCUCCUGAAGCCCUGGUGAAGCCUUCAGAUGACCGUAGCCCCAGCCAACAUUUGGCUGCAGUCUCAUGGCAGGCUCCAAGCCAAACCCUACCAGUGAAUUUGCUACCAAAUUCCUGACUCAUGGAAACUGUGUGUGUAAUAAAUGUUUAUUGUAUGAUAAAGCCACUAAAUUUAGGAGUAAUUUCUUACACAGCAAUAGAUAACUAGUAGAGUCACUUUGCAUCUCUUAGGGUCUAUGGCAAAUGACACAUAAUGAAUAGAGAAAUUGGAACAGACAACUGGUUGUCUGUUUCAGUACAGAAACUGGUUGGUAUUAAGAGUGACAAUUUUUAUUAUAGUUCAAGCUAUAGUACUGUAUGUUCUUGAAUAAACUAUGCUAAUCUAGGCCAUCCAAAGACUUCCCAAAAUGUAUGGUGAGAAUAACAUUUCCAAGAUACUAAACCAAUGUUUGUAGCUCCUGAUAAUUCCUAAUUCCUGGUUGCCCCAAGCCACCACCUGCCCCAACUAAAACAAAAGAAUUGAUCACAUCAUAAUAAAAUUAGAACCUUCAAAGAACAGGCACUGAUCUCUUGGAAUUUUUAUUUUAAACUUAAGUUUACAUGACAAUCUGCUUCCACUUACAUGAUAAUCUGAAAGCAUAUGUUGAAAUGGCAUGGUUCUUGGUUGCAGAAAACAGAAAUGAAAUCUACCUAAGCAGAAAUUAAAAUUAUAGGAGGGAUAUUGGGAGCUCAUAACAUCCAGAGGCUGACUAAACAAACAGACUUCAACGUCAAAAGCAGCCCCCACCCUGGAGGCUAGGGAUCUAUGAGAGCAAAUUGAACAUCUGAUCUCUCAGCUCUCACCAAACUCACACCAUGGCAGAACCUUCACGAAGGGAGGAAGAGACUCAGAUGCUGAACACAAGGAGAG